AUGCAUGUUGGUACAACUAUGGAAUCAAAUGAUGCAACUUUCUUUGAGGACAUAUUUCCUAUGAAGGAUAUGUCGAGUUCAUCAAAUCAGGAGAUACCUACUCCAUCUAGUGAGGAAUUCACUGUAAUUCCUGAACCGACCAUUGCGAUGGAACACGUUGAGAAUCCUGUUGAAGGUAACAAUGGAACUCCUAUGAGGAGUAAGAGAAAGAGGACUGCAAAGUCUUUUGGUGAUGAUUUCAUUGUGUACCUCGUGGAUGACACACCCAGGACUAUUUCAGACGCCUAUGCAUCUCCUGAUGCUGACUACUGGAAGGAAGCUGUACGUAGCGAGAUGGAUUCCAUCUUAGCUAACGGUACCUGGGAGAUCACUGACCGUCCUUAUGGGUGCAAACCUGUAGGAUGUAAGUGGGUGUUCAAGAAGAAGCUUAGACCUGAUGGUACGAUUGAAAAGUACAAGGCACGACUUGUGGCCAAGGGUUAUACCCAGAAAGAAGGUGAAGACUUCUUUGAUACUUACUCACCCGUGGCUAGACUGACCACAAUUUGGGUGCUACUAUCACUGGCUGCCUCACAUGGUCUUCUCGUUUAUCAAAUGGACGUUAAGACGGCUUUCCUCAAUGGAGAGUUGAAGGAGGAAAUUUACAUGGAUCAGCCAGAUGGUUUUGUAGUACCUGGUCAAGAAGGAAAGGUGUGCAAGUUAUUAAAGUCUUUAUAUGGCCUUAAACAAGCUCCUAAGGAGUGGCAUGAGAAGUUCGAAAGAACAUUAACCGCUGUCGGCUUUGUAGUAAACGAUGGUGACAAGUGCGUGUACUAUCGCUAUGGUGGGGGCGAAGGAGUUAUUCUUUGUCUAUAUGUCGACGACAUAUUAAUCUUUGGAACCAAACUUGAUUUAAUCAAGGAGGUUAAGGAUUUCUUAUCUCGCUGUUUUGAGAUGAAGGAUCUAGGAGUAGCUGAUGUUAUCUUAAACAUCAAGCUGUUGAGAGAUGAGAAUGGUGGGAUCACACUGCUUCAGUCUCAUUAUGUGGAAAAGGUCUUGAGUCGUUUUGAGUAUAGCGACUGCAUGCCUUCUCCAACUCCAUAUGAUGCUAGUGUGUUUCUUCCAAAGAAUCGACGGAUUUCUAGAGAUCAACUGAGGUAUUCUCAGAUUAUUGGCUCGCUUAUGUAUUUGGCGAGUGCCACGAGGCCAGACAUCUCUUUUGCUGUGAGCAAGCUGAGUCGGUUUGUGUCAAAACCGGGAGAUGAUCAUUGGCAUGCGCUUGAGAGAGUUAUGCGCUAUUUGAUAGGCACCGCGAGCUAUAGGAUUCACUACACCGGGUAUCCAAGGGUACUGGAGGGUUAUAGUGACUCAAACUGGAUAUCUGAUGCUGAUGAGAUUAAGGACACAACUGGUUAUGUUUUUACACUUGGUGGUGGUGCUGUUUCCUCAAGGCAUGUGAAGAGGAGACUAAAAUCUGUUAGAAAAUUGAGGAACUCCGGAGUUAUUACGUUGGAUUAUAUCCAAACGUCGAAAAACUUGGCAGAUCCCUUCACAAAGGGUCUAUCACGUAAUGUGAUAGAUAAUGCAUCGAUGGAGAUGGGUUUGAGACCCACCGCAUGA
RNAcentral lists this ribosomal RNA (1599 nucleotides) under Triticum aestivum (bread wheat). RNAcentral describes it as "partial small subunit ribosomal RNA". Lineage: Eukaryota; Viridiplantae; Streptophyta; Magnoliopsida; Poales; Poaceae. The record is from RNAcentral.